Molecule: ribosomal RNA, 253 nt
Filed under: uncultured bacterium
Lineage: Bacteria
Description: partial 16S ribosomal RNA
Rfam family: Bacterial small subunit ribosomal RNA
Source: RNAcentral
GACGAACCGAGCGAACGUUGUUCGGAAUAACUGGGCUUAAAGGGCGCGUAGGCGGGCCGCCAAGUUCGAGGUGAAAUCCUCCGGCUCAACCGGAGAACUGCCUCGAAUGCUGGAGGCCUCGAGGCGGGUAGGGGCAUGCGGAACUGUGGGUGGAGCGGUGAAAUGCGUUGAUAUCCACAGGAACUCCGGUGGCGAAGGCGGCAUGCUGGACCCGAUCUGACGCUGAGGCGCGAAAGCCAGGGGAGCAAACGGG